Molecule: ribosomal RNA, 1530 nt
Filed under: Triticum aestivum (bread wheat)
Lineage: Eukaryota; Viridiplantae; Streptophyta; Magnoliopsida; Poales; Poaceae
Description: partial small subunit ribosomal RNA
Source: RNAcentral
AUGAGAGCAGCGGUAGCUCGCUCGCUACGCCAGCUUCGCCGUUUGGCGCGGCACCAUGCAGAGGGGCGCGCACCAAUAAACAGACUGACCAGGCAGCAGAACGUGCUCAUCUUGCGUGGUUCCGCAUCCCGUUCACUGUGCACCGUGCGCCAUGAUGAUGAACAUGGCAGAUUUGUGAGUCCAGCUGUGGAGUCACUGAGGAACAUGUUCUCCACUGCCGCGGCUGAUUCGAUUAAAGAUGUUCCACGAGGUGGUCCCAUGGUGGAAUAUGAGAAGAGAAUUGCAUCAGGAGAUCUUGUAGAUGGUGAUAGCUUUCAGGUUGACACGAUUCAGCAAUUACAAAGGCUUUAUGAGGAUCUUGUAGAGAAUGAAGAAGCCUGCCAGCUCGAUAGAUAUCAGUCAUCUGAGAAAUCUGGAAGGAGAAGGUGGCUAUGGUCUCGCCUCAUUGCUCAGCCUUCUACCCAAUCACCAGUAAAGGGAUUGUAUCUAUAUGGAGGGGUCGGUACAGGGAAGACGAUGCUUAUGGACCUGUUCUAUGAGCAACUGCCAGCUAAUUGGAGGAAAAAGAGAAUUCACUUUCACGAUUUCAUGUUGAAUGUUCAUAGUCGCCUGCAGAUGCAUAAAGGUGUUUCAGAUCCCCUUGAUAUGGUAGCAGCUGAGAUUUCAGAUGAAGCCAUAAUAUUAUGUCUUGACGAGUUUAUGGUAACUGAUGUUGCUGAUGCUAUGAUAUUGAACCGUCUGUUCAGACAUCUGUUCAGCAAAGGCGUUGUUCUAGUUUCGACUUCUAAUCGUGCUCCCGAUCAGCUAUACGAAGGUGGCUUGCAGCGAAACCUUUUCUUACCGUUCAUUGACACCUUGAAAGAAAGGUGCAUUUCGCACCCCAUUGGCUCUGCAGUAGACUACCGUCAACUGGGUUCAGCUGGAGAAGGUUUCUAUUUUAUUGGAAGCGAAUGCAGUACAGUUCUUAAACAGAAAUUCCAAUCUUUGAUUGGAGAUGAGGAACCUACUCCUCAAACAGUCGAAGUCGUUAUGGGACGACAUUUGGAGGUCUUGGAAGUCCCACUGGGAGCAAAUGGAUGUGCAUAUUUCCAGUUUGAAGAUCUUUGUGACAGACCUAUAGGCGCAGCAGACUAUUUCGGGCUAUUUAAGAAGUUUCACACCCUUGCAGUUGAAGGUGUCCCUAAGUUUGGAUAUCAUAACAGAACAGCAGCAUAUCGGUUUGUCACAUUGGUUGAUGUUAUGUAUGAGAACAAGGGGAGGCUAUUAUGCACAGCCGAGGCCGAGCCAAUAGAGCUAUUCGAGAAUGUCGUGACGGUCGCUGAAGCACAAAAAAGUUCACCUAGAUCUUCACGCUCGCAGAAAAGUGACGAUCCCGAUCUCUGCGUGGACAAUGAGCUAGGAUUCGCCAAAGAUCGUACGAUUAGCAGGUUGACAGAGCUCAACAGCAGAGAGUACUUGGAGGACUUUGAAGCAAAAUGGCAACAUCCCCUGCAUGCUGUAGAUAAUGGCGGCGAUGUCGUACUUGCAUAA